AGAAAAAGUAUAUACAGGGAAAAUAAUAUUAAUAAAUUUCCUUGCUAAUCUUUAGCGGGAAUCGAGUCACUCCCUCCGCUCGCUCAAAUUUCAACCUUUCGCAUCGCAGAGAAGAAGAAGAAGGAAGAAGAAACGAGAGAGAUGAGCAAUGGGCAUUUCCCGGGGAACCGUGCUCGUUGCGUUGCCAUGCCACGCCCAAAAUUCAUGUGAAUUUGUCGUUUUCUUUGCUCCUAUUUUUUCCUUCCUCCUGCUUUCUUGGAACCCAAAUGUCUCUUGCGCUUUGCGAUCUUGAUCAAGCUCGAACAUCUUGGAAUUUGUCUUUUGAUUCCUGGGUCGUUUUCGUCCGCACAUAUGAUUGGCGGAUGCUGAAGAUGGGCGGACAAUAGAGACCGAGUCUUGAGGAGCCCAACGUUCGUUGCGUUUCCUCUCGACUCCUGCGCUGAUUUUGAAGCUUCUAAUUUCUGGAGUUCUGUUGCUCUGACGCGUUCCUGCGUGUGUGCGCAAUGUCGGAAGAAAAUGGCGAUUUCGACUUCGGAAAUGGAGUCACGGAGUUCAGUCAUUCAAUGGCCGACGGCAGCAAAGAAGAGGCAAGGCCAUGGAGGUAUCUGAUCUGACAGUUGUCUUUCAGUCCUGCAGAAAUAUUCUGCUGAUCUAGCAGUAUGGGAUACUGUUCAUCAAGGAAGACUCCUUUUGGCUUAUGCUCACGCAUGUAGUACUGCCCUAACACUCUCUGUUCAAGGAAAAUUUUUCAGUUAUGAGGAUUCACACAUUUUAAAUUGGGUGCACUUCUUUCUUGGAAGUUCACUUGUUUUGAAUUUCUUGAAACUGAUUUGUGUAGAUAAUUAACUGCAAAUUGGAAGAGGAAGAUCCUACUUUAACCUGCUUCGUGAUCGGUGAUUCUGUAUGAUUAUAGCUUGCCUUUCAUUAUAUUCAUCUUCAUCUGGCUUUGUCUAAGUUCUUUUGUCAUUCCUAAAUUCAUGUUUUAGUUUAUUCUGGUCUGGGAAAGAUUAUGUGCUGCAUUAGUUAGCAUGUGACUAGCUGACCUAAGCAGUCUUAUAGCAACUUUUGAAUGACCUUUUCAGAAGAUACUAGCUUUUUCCUUGUUUACCUAUGGUCCCGGUUCUCUGUAUAAAAUAUAAAAUUUCAUUAAGCAAGAAGAAGAAAAAAGAAUACAGGAACCAGAGAUGGGGCAUUCCGAGAAUUGAACUCGGGACCUCUCGCACCCUAAGCGAGAAUCAUACCACUAGACCAAAUGCCCUGUUUGUGAUACUUUUAACGGUCUGUGAUAAAAGCUUCCAGGUAUAAUCAGCUACCCUUCUUCUAAAACCAAAAAAAAAAAGGGAAGAGUACAAGAUGCUGUCCACCUUAUAAGGGGAAGGUGUUUUGUACUUCUAUGUCUUGACUACUUGGUUCUUUCCACAGUAAGAUCUUACAAUUACCUAAACACUGCCUAGAAUCGCAAUUCUUAUAUUUUGGUCUCCUUCAACUAUAUGUGUUAUUUUUUUGCUUCUUUGUGCUAGCAGAACAAUCCUUUAGGUAAUAAGAUUUAAAUCUCUUUCAUUGUUUAUUGAGAAAUGUAUCCUGGUGGCAACAUUUAUCAAAGUUUUUGGAUUCUAACAUGGGCCUUAGAUGUCUCAUGGCCACAGUGAAGAUAAAAUGUCUAGGAAUACCUUUUAGUUUUGUUACAUUAAUAUGCUGGACAGUUUGGAUAGGCAUGUAGUCACAGUAUCAUUUUGCUCCUGAUGAAGGUAGUUUUCUACGGAGUGCUAGUCUGCUAGAUCUGUUUUAUGUAUUAAGAUGUGGUUCUCGUCUGACCUGAAUUAGUACAAACUGACGCUGUUUGGUCUCCCAAAGAGUGGCUCUGGCAAUAAUCCCCUAGUUUGGUUGCUUCAUUCUGGUCCUUUUGAUAUAAAUGUUUUCUUUGUAUGUUUUUUUCUUUUUUAUCUUAUUAGUUUUGCAAUUGAUCUAUAAGUUUGAUCUACAUAAAAAUGUACCUGCAUUAUGAAUACUUAGCACUGCAACCUGAGUUGACUUCUGAGGAGUGAGCAGUUUGCUACUGCAAUCACAACUGCAAACUAUCUUACCUGAUCUGCUUCAUUAUUCCAGUGCCUCUGCUUCAGUGUGAUCUAGUCACUCAUUUCAAAUUUUGCAUAAAAAUUAAAAUACUGGGGCAUUCCGAGAAUCGAACUCGGGACCUCUCGCACCCAAAGCGAGAAUCAUACCACUAGACCAAAUGCCCAUCUGUUGGUUCAUACAACGUCAGGAUCAACUCAGCCCAGAGAAUUGAAGCAAUUUAUGCCGAGGAGGCCGUUGUGAUAUCUGCCUGUCCUCUUUAGCAUGCAGUAUGAAUGCAUCUUUGGCGUCAAGCGGCAGCAUGUGAAAUGGGCCAAGAGGGGCCAGAAUUUGCCCCUCUUUUUUUGUAUUGAAUGAUUUUUUAAAUUCUUUCUGGAGUUGGUUGAGGUUUGAAAAAUGAAUACCUUGUCAGUAUCAAUAUUUUUUUGCCCUUUAAUAAGAGACUUUGAUAUGUAAAAUAUAUCAACUUUAAAUGCAGUUGUUGCAUUGACUU
Molecule: long non-coding RNA, 2566 nt
Organism: Eucalyptus grandis
Lineage: Eukaryota; Viridiplantae; Streptophyta; Magnoliopsida; Myrtales; Myrtaceae
Exons: 4
Source: RefSeq, a predicted model, not a curated record